RNAcentral lists this small RNA (279 nucleotides) under Saimiri boliviensis boliviensis (Bolivian squirrel monkey). Its description in RNAcentral is "Metazoan signal recognition particle RNA (ENSSBOG00000006560.1)". Lineage: Eukaryota; Metazoa; Chordata; Mammalia; Primates; Cebidae. The record is from RNAcentral.
GCCAGGCGCGGUGGCAGGUGCCUGUAAUCCCAGCUACUUGGGAGGCUGAGGCAGGGGCAUCGCUUGAACCCAGGAGGCGGAGGUUGCAGUGAGCCGAGAUUGCGCCACUGCACUCCAGCCUAGCAACAGAGCAAGACUCCAUUUCAGAAAAAAAAAAAAAAAAAUGUUCUUUGCUUUUUGAGACAGAGUCCUGCUGUGUCGCCAAGGCUGGAGUGCAGUGGUGUGAUCUCAGCUCACUGCAACCUUCACCUCCUGGGUUUAAGCAAUUCUCCUGCCUCA